RNAcentral lists this ribosomal RNA (282 nucleotides) under uncultured bacterium. Its description in RNAcentral is "partial 16S ribosomal RNA". It matches the Rfam family "Bacterial small subunit ribosomal RNA", at positions 333 to 611 of the family's 1533-position model. The record is from RNAcentral.
GCUAUCCUACGGGAGGCAGCAGUGAGGAAUAUUGGUCAAUGGGCGCAAGCCUGAACCAGCCAAGUCGCGUGAGGGAUGACGGUCCUAUGGAUUGUAAACCUCUUUUGUCGGGGAGCAAGGCCCGCCACGUGUGGCGGGAAGGAGAGUACCCGAAGAAAAAGCAUCGGCUAACUCCGUGCCAGCAGCCGCGGUAAUACGGAGGAUGCGAGCGUUAUCCGGAUUUAUUGGGUUUAAAGGGUGCGUGGGCGGGAGGUUAAGUCAGCGGUCAAAUGUCGGGGCUCA